UACGGAGGGUGCAAGCGUUAUCCGGAAUUAUUGGGCGUAAAGAGCUCGUAGGCGGUUUGUCGCGUCUGCCGUGAAAGUCCGGGGCUCAACUCCGGAUCUGCGGUGGGUACGGGCAGACUAGAGUGAUGUAGGGGAGACUGGAAUUCCUGGUGUAGCGGUGAAAUGCGCAGAUAUCAGGAGGAACACCGAUGGCGAAGGCAGGUCUCUGGGCAUUAACUGACGCUGAGGAGCGAAAGCAUGGGGGAGCGAACAGG
This 254-nucleotide ribosomal RNA is filed under the name uncultured bacterium. RNAcentral describes it as "partial 16S ribosomal RNA". It matches the Rfam family "Bacterial small subunit ribosomal RNA", at positions 524 to 776 of the family's 1533-position model. The record is from RNAcentral.